CUACGGAGGGUGCAAGCGUUGUCCGGAUUUAUAGGGUUUAAAGGGUGCGUAGGUGGUUUUUUAAGUCAGUGGUGAAAGCCUACAGCUUAGCUGUAGAGGUGCCAUUGAAACUGGAAGACUUGAGUAUGGACGAGGUAGGCGGAAUUUGUGGUGUAGCGGUGAAAUGCAUAGAUACCACAAAGAACACCGAUAGCGAAGGCAGCUUACUAGGCCAUAACUGACACUGAGGCACGAAAGCGUGGGGAGCGAACAGGAUUAGAAACCCGGGUAGUCC
RNAcentral lists this ribosomal RNA (274 nucleotides) under uncultured bacterium. RNAcentral describes it as "partial 16S ribosomal RNA". It matches the Rfam family "Bacterial small subunit ribosomal RNA", at positions 523 to 796 of the family's 1533-position model. The record is from RNAcentral.